This 207-nucleotide ribosomal RNA is filed under the name uncultured bacterium. RNAcentral's name for it is "partial 16S ribosomal RNA". It matches the Rfam family "Bacterial small subunit ribosomal RNA", at positions 568 to 774 of the family's 1533-position model. The record is from RNAcentral.
UCCGCAGGGGGUAGAUUAAGUCUGAUGUGAAAUCCCUGAGCUUAACUCAGGAACUGCAUUGGAGACUGGUCUACUAGAGUAUCGGAGAGGAGAUUGGAAUUCCAGGUGUAGCGGUGGAAUGCGUAGAUAUCUGGAAGAACACCGAAAGCGAAGGCAGAUCUCUGGACGAUUACUGACCCUCAGGGACGAAAGCGUGGGGAGCAAACA